RNAcentral lists this ribosomal RNA (495 nucleotides) under uncultured Glomeromycotina. RNAcentral describes it as "partial small subunit ribosomal RNA". It matches the Rfam family "Eukaryotic small subunit ribosomal RNA", at positions 591 to 1092 of the family's 1831-position model. The record is from RNAcentral. Lineage: Eukaryota; Fungi; Glomeromycota.
CCAAUAGCGUAUAUUAAAGUUGUUGCAGUUAAAAAGCUCGUAGUUGAACCUUGGGCCUGGCUGGCCGGUCCGCCUCACCGCGUGCACUGGUUCGGCCGGGCCUUUCCCUCUGGGGAAUCCCAUGCCCUUCACUGGGUGUGGCGAGGAACCAGGACUUUUACUGUGAAAAAAUUAGAGUGUUCAAAGCAGGCCUAUGCUCGAAUACAUUAGCAUGGAAUAAUAGAAUAGGACGUGUGGUUCUAUUUUGUUGGUUUCUAGGACCACCGUAAUGAUUAAUAGGGACAGUCGGGGGCAUCAGUAUUCAAUUGUCAGAGGUGAAAUUCUUGGAUUUAUUGAAGACUAACUACUGCGAAAGCAUUUGCCAAGGAUGUUUUCAUUAAUCAGGAACGAAAGUUAGGGGAUCGAAGACGAUCAGAUACCGUCGUAGUCUUAACCAUAAACUAUGCCGACUAGGGAUCGGACGAUGUUAUUUUUUGACUCGUUCGGCACCUUACG